AGUGAACGCUGGCGGUAGGCCUAACACAUGCAAGUCGAACGGCAGCACAGGAGAGCUUGCUCUCUGGGUGGCGAGUGGCGGACGGGUGAGGAAUACAUCGGAAUCUACUCUGUCGUGGGGGAUAACGUAGGGAAACUUACGCUAAUACCGCAUACGACCUACGGGUGAAAGCAGGGGAUCUUCGGACCUUGCGCGAUUGAAUGAGCCGAUGUCGGAUUAGCUAGUUGACGGGGUAAAGGCCCACCAAGGCGACGAUCCGUAGCUGGUCUGAGAGGAUGAUCAGCCACACUGGAACUGAGACACGGUCCAGACUCCUACGGGAGGCAGCAGUGGGGAAUAUUGGACAAUGGGCGCAAGCCUGAUCCAGCCAUACCGCGUGGGUGAAGAAGGCCUUCGGGUUGUAAAGCCCUUUUGUUGGAAAGAAAUCCAGCUGGCUAAUACCCGGUUGGGAUGACGGUACCCAAAGAAUAAGCACCGGCUAACUUCGUGCCAGCCGCCGCGGUAA
Molecule: ribosomal RNA, 505 nt
Filed under: uncultured bacterium
Lineage: Bacteria
Description: partial 16S ribosomal RNA
Rfam family: Bacterial small subunit ribosomal RNA
Source: RNAcentral